GUCGAACGCGAAAGUUCCCUUCGGGGGGCGAGUAGAGUGGCGCACGGGUGAGUAACACGUAGGUAAUCUACCUUUGGGUGGGGAAUAACAGCCGGAAACGGCUGCUAAUACCGCAUAAUGCAGCGGCUCGACAUCGAGACAGUUGUUAAAGCGGGGGAUCGCAAGACCUCGCGCCUGAAGAGGAGCCUGCGGCGGAUUAGCUAGUUGGUAAGGUAAUGGCUUACCAAGGCAUCGAUCCGUAGCCGGCCUGAGAGGGCGGUCGGCCACACUGACACUGACAUACGGGUCAGACUCCUACGGGAGGCAGCAGUCGGGAAUUUUGGGCAAUGGGCGCAAGCCUGACCCAGCAACGCCGCGUGAAGGAUGAAAUCCCUCGGGAUGUAAACUUCGCAAGAACAGGAAGAAUAAGUGGGGGACAAUACCCCCCAUGAUGACGGUACUGUUUGUAAGCUCCGGCUAACUCCGUGCCAGCAGCCGCGGUAAUACGGGGGGAGCAAGCGUUGUUCGGAUUUACUGGGCGUAAAGGGCGCGUAGGCGGUCGUGACAAGUCACUUGUGAAAUCUCCGGGCUUAACUCGGAAAGGUCAAGUGAUACUGUCGGACUAGAGUGCAGAAGGGGCAACUGGAAUUCUCGGUGUAGCGGUGAAAUGCGUAGAUAUCGAGAGGAACACCUGCGGCGAAGGCGGGUUGCUGGGCUGACACUGACGCUGAGGCGCGAAAGCCAGGGGAGCGAACGGGAUUAGAUACCCCGGUAGUCCUGGCCUUAAACGAUGAAUGCUUGGUGUCUCGGGUUACAUAGUCCCGGGGUGCCGUCGCUAACGCUUUUAGCAUUCCGCCUGGGGAGUACGGUCGCAAGACUGAAACUCAAAGGAAUUGACGGGGACCCGCACAAGCGGUGGAGCAUGUGGUUUAAUUCGACGCAACGCGAGAACCUUACCUGGGCUAGAAUGCCUCUGACACCUUAGAGAUAGGGCCUUUU
RNAcentral lists this ribosomal RNA (978 nucleotides) under uncultured Acidobacteriota bacterium. RNAcentral's name for it is "bacterial SSU rRNA". It matches the Rfam family "Bacterial small subunit ribosomal RNA", at positions 61 to 1017 of the family's 1533-position model. Lineage: Bacteria; Pseudomonadati; Acidobacteriota. The record is from RNAcentral.